This 357-nucleotide long non-coding RNA is filed under the name Gossypium barbadense (sea-island cotton). RNAcentral's name for it is "long non-coding RNA (GBAR_LNC017589)". The record is from RNAcentral. Lineage: Eukaryota; Viridiplantae; Streptophyta; Magnoliopsida; Malvales; Malvaceae.
AGGAGAAAAAGGAUAAAGGAAAAGAAAAAGGUAAGACAUGAUACACUUUAACCGUCUGCAGAGUUCAACUUGGUUCGAUUCAAUCACUUCCACUUGAAUCAUAUAAUUGUUCCAUUUUUUACAGUUGAAGAUGGUUAAAGCUGUAAGAUCCAUUCAUGAGGACAAAGGAAUAAAGGAAAAGGAAAAAGAAAAGAAAGAGUAAGAGAUGACACGCUUAUAAGAGUUCUUUUUAUCUUAUAUUUCUCCAUCAGUAACAUCUGCAUAUGUUAAAUCAGAAACAUCUGUGCAUCAUAUCCAGCCAAUUACUCCAUAACAUCAGUUCUUUUGGUCAUAAUUAUACUAACAGUUCGAUCAAAA